CGUGCUUGAUCCUUCCAGUAAUCAUAUGCUUGUCUCAAAGAUUAAGCCAUGCAUGUGUAAGUAUGAACAAAUUCAGACUGUGAAACUGUGAAUGGCUCAUUAAAUCAGUUAUAGUUUGUUUGACAGUAUCUACUACUCGGAUAACCGUAGUAAUUCAAGAGCUAAUACAUGCAACAAACCCCAACUUCUGGAAGGGAUGCAUUUAUUAGAUAAAAGGUCGAUGCGGGCUCUGCCCGUUGCUACGAUAAUUGAUGAUAACUCGACGGAUUGCACAGCCAUUAUGCCGGCGACGUAUUAUUCAAAUUUCUGUCCUAUCAAGUUUCGAUGGUAGGAUAGUGGCCUAUCAUGGUGGUGACGGGUGGCGGAGAAUUAGGGUUCGAUUUCGGAGAGGGAGCCUGAGAAACGGCUACCACAUCCAAGGAAGGCAGCAGACGCACUAAUUACCCAAUCCUGACACGGGGAGGUAGUGACAAUAAAUAACAAUACCGGGCUCUAUGAGUCUGGUAAUUGAAAUGAGUACAAUCUAAAUCCCUUAACGAGGAUCUAUUGGAGGGAGAGUCUGGUGCCUGCAGCCGUGGUAAUUCCAGCACCAAUAGCGUAUAUUUAAGUUGUUGCAAUUAAAAAGCUUGAAGUUGGACUUUGGGAUUGGCCGGCCGGUCCGCCUAUGGUGUGCAUUAGUCGUCUCGUCCCUUCUGUCGGUGAUGCGCUCCUGGACUUAACUGGCCGGGUCGUGCCUCCGGUGCUGUUACUUUGAAGAAAUUAGAGUGCUUAGAUCAAGUAUACGCUCUGUAUACAUUAGCAUGGGAUAACAUUAUAGGAUUUUGGUCCAAUUACGUUGGCCUGCGGCUUAAUUUGACUCAACACAGGGAAACUUACCAGGUCAAGACAUAGUAAGGAUUGACAGACUAAGUGCUCUUUCUUGAUUCUAUGGGUGGUGGUGCUUGGCCGUUCUUAGUUGGUGGAGCAAUUUGUCUGGUUAAUUUCGUUAACGAACGAGACCUCAGCCUGCUAACUAGCUAUGCUGAGGUAUCCCUUCGCGGCUAGCUUCUUAGAGGGACUACGACCUUUUAGGCUGCGGAAGUUUGAGGCAAUAACAAGUCUGUGAUGCCCUUAGAUGUUCUUGG
Molecule: ribosomal RNA, 1124 nt
Filed under: Capsicum annuum
Lineage: Eukaryota; Viridiplantae; Streptophyta; Magnoliopsida; Solanales; Solanaceae
Description: bacterial SSU rRNA
Rfam family: Eukaryotic small subunit ribosomal RNA
Source: RNAcentral